Molecule: ribosomal RNA, 253 nt
Filed under: uncultured bacterium
Lineage: Bacteria
Description: partial 16S ribosomal RNA
Rfam family: Bacterial small subunit ribosomal RNA
Source: RNAcentral
UACGAAGGGGGCUAGCGUUGCUCGGAAUUACUGGGCGUAAAGGGCUCGUAGGCGGCCAACUAAGUCAGACGUGAAAUCCCCAGGCUCAACCUGGGAACUGCGUCUGAUACUGGAUGGCUUGAAUUCGGGAGAGGGAUGCAGAAUUCCAGGUGUAGCGGUGAAAUGCGUAGAGAUCGGAAGGAACACCAGUGGCGAAGGCGGCUACCUGGACAGAUACUGACGCUGAGGCACGAAGGCCAGGGGAGCAAACGGG